RNAcentral lists this transfer RNA (68 nucleotides) under Ictidomys tridecemlineatus (thirteen-lined ground squirrel). RNAcentral's name for it is "Spermophilus tridecemlineatus (thirteen-lined ground squirrel) tRNA". It matches the Rfam family "tRNA". From Rfam's summary of the family: Transfer RNA (tRNA) molecules are approximately 80 nucleotides in length. Their secondary structure includes four short double-helical elements and three loops (D, anti-codon, and T loops). The record is from Rfam by way of RNAcentral. Lineage: Eukaryota; Metazoa; Chordata; Mammalia; Rodentia; Sciuridae.
GGGGCUGUAGCUUAGUGAUAGAGCACUUGCCUAGCAUGUGUGAGGCACUGGUUCGAUCCUCAGCACCA